GACGAACGCUGGCGGCGUGCCUAAUACAUGCAAGUAGAACGCUGAAGGAGGAGCUUGCUUCCCUGGAUGAGUUGCGAACGGGUGAGUAACGCGUAGGUAACCUGUCUGGUAGCGGGGGAUAACUCUUGGAAACGAUAGCUAAUACCGCAUAAUAUUGACUAUUGCAUGAUAGUCAGUUGAAAGGUGCAACUGCACCACUACCAGAUGGACCUGCGUUGUAUUAGCUAGUUGGUGGGGUAACGGCUCACCAAAGCGACGAUACAUAGCCGACCUGAGAGGGGGAUCGGCCAAACUGGGACUGAGACACGGCCCAGGCUCCUACGGGAAGCAGCAGUAAGGAAUCUUCGGCAAUUGAGGGAAGGCUGAACGGGCAACGGCGCGGGAGUGAAGAAGGUUUUCGGGUCGGAAAGAUCUGUUGUAUGGGGAGAACGAGAGGGGGAGUGGAAAGCGCACGCUGUGACGGUACCUUAUCAGAAAGGGACGGCUAACUACGUG
This 495-nucleotide ribosomal RNA is filed under the name uncultured bacterium. RNAcentral's name for it is "partial 16S ribosomal RNA". It matches the Rfam family "Bacterial small subunit ribosomal RNA", at positions 28 to 507 of the family's 1533-position model. The record is from RNAcentral.